AGGCAAUCUAAAGUUAUAAUAUUACUUUUCAUGACCGUAAAUUCGGAGGUCAAGAUUGCAUUGUGCAUCCAUAUUAUUAAGAUAUCCUUGAGAAUUUUGGCUCCGUGUAAGCAUUUCACAUACUUUGGGCAUAGGUUGAUAAGCACAUUAGUAGCUUCACUUAGUUUUGCAAAGGGAUGCUAAAAGUAAAAAAUGAUGGGGGUUUUUUUUUUAUUUCUAAUGCUAUUUUGAAACAAUUCAUGAGCUUAAAACCUCUAGGCAUCCUAUCGUCAGUUUUAUGAGAGCCUCAUAUUAUAGACCUAUAAGACUCAAAUAAGGUUUUCUUGCCAAGUUUGUGAAUAAUAUUAUACUUAAUUGUAAUGUAUUCAACAUUAUAAACAAUACACAUAUAGAAUGAUGGCGUAAUUCAUUUAGUAGGCAGCUUUAUUCUUUUAGACAGAUCAUCUCAUAUCAACUGCAACUUUCAGUAUUUUGUGCAAUGCUGUCUUACUAGAUCAAAAAUUUGCCUAAUGUUCACUGUUUUCAAGUCGAUUNUACCUGUAAAUCAAACACUACUACGAACAGUAGUAGAGAGCUGCUAGAGAAAACAUAAGCUAAACAAACUGAGUUUCAUAUACAUAGUCCAAAUCCAAAAUACAGAGCUACUCGCACUGGCGAGUUUAGUCUACUAUGUACAGAAACUAGAAACAAAACAUCUACCUACAGUAGGGGCACCUCUAGCUCAGCAGAAUGGGUAGGGCUCUAACUCGCGACGCCCUUGCCUCGAUCCUGAUCUGCGGAAGGCGCAGCAGCCGGAACCUGUGGCUCUGCAAAACAGAGGUAACAACUGGGCGUGAGAACUACUGUAAAAACAUGUAGUCCUCAGUGGGUAUCGCCCAAAACCACAUCGGUCCACCCACUAAGUCUACAGAAGGGAGCAAGAGUAGUCAGAAAAGCAUGAAGCAAACUCUACCGCUAUCGAUCACUACACUAUUAUGCUCUAUACUAACCAACUGUAGUAAAUGUCAAAUCUGACCCAAUCCAAUCGGGACUGUAAGCAUACCCGUCCCCGGGACUGUGAAUACACCCGUCCCUGCCCCGUUGCGACUAUCAGGCUCUAUCCACACUAACUGGUCCGUGGAGAGCAAGUCCAACUGGCAUGAGCGACACCAACGCGAAAGCACAAAGCCUGUCUCCGGAGUGGCACUCGUGGGCGCUACCCAACCGAGUAUGCAGUGUAUCUCUAUCAAGCUCAAUCAGGCUCUGAAAAGCCAAAGUCAAGUAACCGACUAUAACUAGUCUAAUAACCAACAGUUCAUGUGCCCUCGGCACAAUCUGUCGCCAAAAAGGCGAUCCGGGUCCACCGUCAACUCUGACGGCACCCAACAAUUCGAAACAGUCCAAACGACCAUAUAAAAAUCCACUCGGCGCACCAGCAUGAGCGUAAAUAUAUUCUAAACAACCUGAAGUACUCGUCUCGAAGAUACUGCGACAGUACAAUUUUAUAACGGCUCCUAGAGCUAAAUCAGGCAGUUUAAACAUGUGACAGGUCCAAAUCGCAGGUUUUCUCCUAAUUCAAAUUCCAAGUCCAACAUGUAUAAACUACUCAAUUGAAUACCACAUGCUCCAAAUUCAGAUUUGCAAUCUACCAUAUGAUUCAUGAAUUCGAGCUAGAAUAGACUAUACUAAAAUUUAAUUUUACACAUGUCGACGAUUAGAACUUAGGAGUCAAAACCAAUGUAACCCACCUCAAGAAGCUAGCUCCUGGCAGCGAACGAGGCCUCGAACCAAAGUGACCCCUGCUGGAUCAACGGGAACCCUCCAAGUCUAGCACUCGAGCUAACUCCAAGCUCUACGAUCAAAAUUCACCAAUUCAGUCCGAAUUUCGCAGCAAUAGAGUAGAAAAGGGAUUCGACCAAGCUAACCUUCACCAAAUCCAGCAAUCAAGGGCUUCGUGGAUUCCUCUCAAAGUCCCGAAUCCAACGAACCAAGUCUCGUCGCAAUCCGAUGCUCCUACGUCGAGUACGAGCUAAAAUACUAACAGUCGACGAUGAAUUUCAGCAAAACAGCAUCACUCGAGCUCGAAAAAUAUAUCAACGGAGAAAAACUAGAUACCCACCUCGCUAGUGACUCUAGCACCAGCGCGACGUCAAGGACGGCGAAAACGUACCCUCGCCCGGCCUCCUCGCGAUGCUACGACGGCAACUGUACCCUCGAGCGGCUCUGCGGCGCGACGUCGGCGAAAACCGAACUCCACCCGAGCUCCUCCUCUACGUACGGCUCAAAAACUAUAUAUAUCGGCAAUGCACAGGUAUUAAAGUGAUAAGCAAGCUUGGGGGUAAGGUGCACGUGGCAUCCUUAUCCCCAGCUAGCUUACCAACUCAAAAGAAAUAAAAAGAAAAAGGAAAAGAAAAGAUAAAGAAAUAAGGAUACUACAUCCUCCCCCACUACAAAAAGUUCCGUCCUCGAAACUUAAAACAUACCUCAAGACGGGGCAACGAACAGGUCGGGGUAGGACUCCCUCAUCACUGUCUCAGGCUCCCAAGUCGCCUCCCGCUCCUCGUGAUUGCUCCACUGCACUUUCACAUACGGGAUGACCCGGUUGCGCAAUUCCUUCGUCUCGCGAGCAAGAAUCCGCACCGGUCGCUCCUCAUAUCUCAAAUCCUUGCCAAUCUCUAGUGGAGUGAAGUCAAUCACGUGAGAAGAAUCGAAAACAUAUCUCCUCAGCGCCGAGACGUGGAACACAUCAUGAAUCCCAGCUAGUCGGGGUGGUAGAGCAAUCCGGUAAGCAACUGGUCCAACUCGCUCCAAUACCUCAAAAGGGCCAACAAAUCGUGGACUAAGCUUUCCACGUACUCCAAAACGGCGUAUCCCUCUGGACGGCGAGACUUUGAGAAAAACAUGAUCUCCAACCUGAAACUCUAAGUCUCGUCUCCUGGUAUCGGCGUAGCUCUUCUAUCGGCUCUGUGCUGUCAGAAGGUGUCGUCGGACGACUCUCACCUUUUCCUCAGCCUCAAGUAAAAUCUCCGGUCCAAGUGUCUUCCUUUGACCCACAUCACUCCAACACAAAGGGGAUCGACAUCUGCGUCCAUACAACGCCUCAAACGGAGCCAUCUGAAUGCUCGCUUGAUAGCUGUUGUUGUACGCAAACUGAGCUAGUCUCAAAUGUCGAUACCACCCUCCUCCAAAAUCCAGGACGCAUGCUCUCAGCAUGUCCUCUAGAGUCUGAAUGGUCCGCUCUGACUGACCAUCCGUCUGUGGGUGAAACGCCGUGCUGAAUUGCAGCUGUGUACCCAAGGCUGUCUGCAAACUCCUCCAGAAAUAUGAUACAAACCUCGGGUCUCUGUCUGAUAUAAUCGACACUAGCACGCCGUGCAGCCUAACGAUCUCAUCUAAGUAUAGCUGCGCGAGUCUCUCUCUGGACCAGGUGGUCUGAAUCGGUAAGAAGUGAGCAGACUUGGUCAGUCUGUCCACUAUCACCCAAAUCGCAUCAAAGCCACCCUGUGCUCUAGGUAAUCCCAUGGCGAAAUCCAUCGUAAUCUGCUCCCACUUCCACUCGAGCAAUGGCAAACUCUGAAGCUUGCCAGCAGGCACCUGAUGCUCGGCCUUCACCUGUUGGCAAGUCAAACACUGAGCCACAAAUCUGCCAAUGUCUCUCUUCAUUUCAUUCCACAAAAACUGUGCCUUUAAAUUCUUAUAUAUCUUGGUUCCCCCAGGGUGAACCGUAUAAGGUGAACAAUGAGCCUCUCUCAAAAUAGCCUCUCGGAUCUCUGAAUCAACAGGCACACACAGCCGGUCCCUGUACCGUAGUACUCCCGAACUGUGCACAGCAAAACCCUUGGCCUGCCCCCUGUCUAACUGCUCUCGAAUCCCCAACAGGUACGGAUCUCCACUCUGUUUCUCUCGGAUCCUAUUCAACAGAGUGGGCUGCAAAACUAGAGAUAUCAGUCUCGCAGUAGAUCCAGGGGACACUAUCUCAAGCCUCAGCCGCUGCAGCUCCUCAAGUAGCGGUCUUUGCUGAGUGAUCAUCAAACUUAGGCUCUGCACUGACUUCCUGCUCAACGCAUCUGUCCCUUUUGAGUGAACAGAUACUUGAGACUUUUAUGAUCAGUAAAAAUCUCACAGUGCUCGCCAUACAAGUAAUGCCGCCACAACUUUAACGCAAAGACUACCACGGCAAGCGCCAAGUCAUGCGUAGGGUAAUUCUUCUCAUAAUCCUUUAACUGCCGUGAAGCAUAAGCAAUUACCCUACCAUGCUGUAUCAGCACACAACCCAGUCCACUGUGCGAUGCAUCACUGUAGAUCACGAAUCCUUGCCCCAUAACAGGAAGGGCAAGGAUAGGAGCUGACAUCAACCUCAGUCUCAACUCGUCGAAGCUCCUCUGGCAGUCCUCACUCCAAACAAACCGAAUCCCUUUCCGUGUCAACCUGGUAAGGGGUGUGGAAAGCUUCGCAAAGCCCUCCACAAACCGACGGUAAUAUCCAGCUAGUCCCAGAAAACUCCGCACCUCAGUCACCGUCGUCGGUCUGGGCCAAUCCCGGAUAGCGUCGAUCUUCUUUGGGUCCACGGCUAACCCAUCUGCAGAAAUCACAUGGCCCAAGAAAGCAACCUCCCGCAACCAAAACUCAGACUUCUUUAACUUGGCAUACAACUUCUUCUCUCGCAGAAGUUGUAACACAAUCCUCAAAUGCUCCUCAUGCUCCGCAUCGCUCCGGGAGUAUAUCAAAAUAUCGUCGAUGAAGACUACCACAAACCUGUCCAAGAACGGCUUUAAUACUCGGUUCAUCAAAUCCAUGAAUGCGGCAGGGGUAUUCGUCAAUCCAAAAGGCAUCACUGUGAACUCAUAAUGCCCGUACCGAGUCCGAAAAGCCGUCUUGGGUACAUCCUCGGCCCUCACCUUCAGCUGGUGGUAACCUGACUGGAGAUCAAUCUUAGAAAAGACACAAGAUCUUUGCAGCUGAUCAAACAGGUCAUCAAUGCGCAGCAAAGGGUACUUGUUCUUGAUGGUCACUUUAUUCAGCUCCCGGUAAUCUACGCACAACCUGAGCGACCCAUUCUUCUUCUUUACAAACAGCACUGGCGCUCCCCAAGGCGAUACACUGAGUCUCACAUACCCCUUAUCCAUCAGAUCCUGAAGCUGUGCCUUUAGCUCUCUCAGCUCUGCCUGUGCCAUCCGAUAAGGUACCUUCGAGAUUGGUGCAGUUCCAGGAACUACAUCAAUCACAAACUCAAUCUCCCUCUGCGGCGGCAACAAAAUCAACUCAGCGGGAAACAUAUCCGAAAACUCGCGGACUACUGGGAUAUCCUCGAGUCCCGGCGCUGCCGUAGGUACCUCAGCAAUCGUCGCCAGAAAUGCGACACAUCCUCUACUCAUCAGCUGUCGAGCCAUCGCCGAAGAUAUCCAGGUGGCAAACAGCGUGCUCCUGCAGCCUCUAAAAGUGAACUCCUCCUGGCCGUUCUCAUGGAACGUCACUGUACUCGUUCUACAAUCAAUAGUAGCAUAGUACCGCGCCAGCCAAUCCAUACCGAGCACGAUGUCGAAGUCCUGCAGCUGCCCUAAUACCAACAGGUCUGCGGGCAUGAUCCACGAAUCUAACUGCACCGGACACGACCAACAACGCUCUGCAUCCUGUAAAACAUGAUCGGGAAUCUGCAUCUCUCGUACCUGUAACAAUGUCCCUAACUCUAGACCAUGCAACAAUGCAAAUGCUCGGCUAACAAAAGAAUGCGAGGCUCCAGUAUCAAAAGAGUACGAGUACGAAUGCCGGAGAUCAAAGUGAUACCUGCCACCACUCGAUCGGCUACUGUAGAGUCCUCUACCUGUGCUGCAUAAACUCUGCCACUCAGAGCCUGCUGUCGCCGCUCACCCUGCUGGAUCCUCUUCAAAUCCUCCUCGAUCUUCUGUUUCAUGCUGUUGGGGAAAUACAUCCCAUACAGCAUUCCAUAGAACUCAUCCCACCUCAACAAUCCAGGCCUCAGUGCCUCUGCCAUCGAAGAUCGGUGGGUCAAAUUGCCGAAAACGAGCUAACCUCUCCGUCCACUGCUCCUGCUCGGCCUCAGUCAACGGUACUGGCCCCCUAGCAGGCGCAACUGGCGCUACUGGAACUGCUGCCGACGGAGGAACUGCUGCAGCUGGUGCGGUCACUGGAGUAGUCGGGGGUGGCACUGGCAACUCUGGUACUCUCGGUGCUGAACUCUGGGGCGAGGCUAACCUCUCGCACAUCCUCUCCAACAACUCCCCCUGCCGCCUCGUCACCUCUGUCAGGGCGGCUAACUGUGCACUCAGAUCUGGGGAUGCACUCACCUCUAGUCGUGCACUCUGCUCUACAACUGAGGGUGCACUCACCUCUGGUGGUGCACUCGGCUUUGCCUGCUCAGGCAUCUCGGAAGGUCCCGCAUGAUCCUGCGACAACUGGGCACGCUCCCGUAACGACGGUCGACCUCGGCGAUAAUACAUAGCUGAAAGAAACAGAUCGGGGUUAGAUAAAACACAAACACUCUCGAACCAAUCAACGAAAGUCUGGAAAGGCGGCCCCUGUUUUCCUCCAAAAUUAUGUCGUCUGCAGCCAACAUAAUUUCUCAGGGCAAAACAGGAACUCCUUCAGUCACUCACCCCCACUCUAGGAGGAGUUAGAACAAUUAAUCAUUGACUUUCGCAAUAAAUUACGCCUCUCGCGUCUUGCCUUCCUAAGGUUUGCCAAACUUAGAUUNAGUUUAAAAAAUUUAACUGCAAACUUGUGAAGUUUAGAUAUGCAUGCUUGUCUUUGCAUUCAUUCAUACUCAAACUACUCCAUGGAGCAUUUUCUGUAAGAUUUGAGGUUUCAAUGUACAUGCAUGCCACAUGGGGCAGUUAUGAUGUAAAAUAAUCAAGCAUUCGAAGGACACUGAAACUCCCCCCAAAAAAAUAAAUGUAUGUAAGAGUAAGUCAAACAACACAGUUUCUACAAAUCAAGUUGUUGCAUGAAUAAUUGCAUAUAGCAUUUACUUUAGAGCGCGAAUUUGAGUUUUAGUGACGAGAAAGAGUAAAAGAAAAACAUUAAAUAAAUGACAACAUGCACUUUAGAAGAAUUCAUACAAAACACGUAUAAAACUCAAUAUGAUACCCGAAAAAUGAAAUUGGUGCAGGAAAUAAGAUCAAACUUAACCGGAACCAAAAAUAAAUUCAAGUUAUAUCUCUAAUACAUUACCAACCCUAGAACAGCAUGUAAGAUUAGGAAGAAAGUUGGAUUUCAAAAAUGGGUUUUAGUUCAUCUCAUAGAGACAUAACAAAAUAAGGAAAGUCGGAAACUCGGAAAUGAAAAUUGCACAAAAGUGUAUAUAAACCUGGACCUUUUUAAGGCACUCAGCUUGGUACAAUCCGAAAAUCGUGCAUCCACUCAGAAGCCGAAAGAGAACAGAGAAGAGUUUAGUGAAUCAAACCUGCAGCCGAUAGGAUUAAUAUAGGGAAAGAGCAGUAAUUUGAACAUUUACAGGUGAUAGGCACAACAAGGAUGCGUUCUAAACGGCAAACAUUAAACAACAGCAUAAAUCAUUACUUGUCGAACUUAAGGCACAAAUUUCGAUAUUAAGCACAAACUACAGCAUUUUGUGUAGAAUGCUUGAAACUUAAGCACAAAGUUGAGGGUGAACAUAGAAAACUUGUAGCUACUGUGUAAAAAAAAUUCAAGCAAAGUAUCGAACUAAAACUCAAAUUCGCUCUCUAAAGUGAAUGCUAUAUGCAAUUAUUCAUGCAACAACUUCAGCUAGAUCUAAUUAAUGCAAGUUUACAAUGACAUGUGCUAAGGUACUAAGGUUAACAUGUACAAUUGCAUUAGAACACCACAGCUUGGUACAAUCCGGAAAUUGUGCAUCCACCCAGAAGCGGAAAGAGAAAAGAGAAGAGUUUAAUGAAUCAAACCUGCAGCUGGCAGGAUUAAUAUAGGGCAAGAGUAGUGAUUUGAACAUUUACAGGUGAUAGGCACAAUAAGGAUGCGUUCUAAACGGCAGUGAAGAAGGUUUCGGUUAGUUGAGACACAUAGCCAAGCCCCUAAUCAUGUAAAGUAGAAUUUAUAUUUACGGUGGUUGCUGAAGUUUAGAUAGGAUUUGAAGGUAAAAGUUUUCGCUCACUACAUCAGAAAAAUUGAAAAUCGCCAAAUUCCGCACCCGUUCACAGUAUUUCACAUGAUUUACUCAGGAUGGAAGGCUUGUUAAGCUACACAUGUAGUUAUUAUACUAUGGCAUUAUCAGAUUUCCAGCUUUAAAUCCCCCUACAUGGCAUUUUGAUUGUGCAGGCAAUAGUUAGCAGUGAAAAAAAUCAAAGUUACAAAUGUGCAUAAGAGCAACAAUAAAAACAUAGUUUUGCUAAAUACCAACAGCCGAAUCACCAAGAGAACCCCUGCUUCUCUCCCAUAAACAGCAGGAACCAAAAAAAUUAAGCAUAAAAUCAAUGGUUCCCCGUAAACAACGGGAACAAAAAAUUGAAGCAUAAAAUCAAUGCUUGCAAGAAAAAUGAGAAGCUCCAUAAUAAAUUAGGCUGUGGAAAUCACACCAAACAGCAUACAUGAAUGGAGAUGCAAAUAAAUAAAUAUACUCUGCUUAGACUCUCCUAGCCAUCGAAUAUUAUUAGAUUGGUGCCGAAGCCUUCUUGCUUAGUAGUGCUUAUUGAGUUUGAACCCAUAUGUAUGACGAAACCAUCCUUAGCACAAAUGAGAGCAGCCGGUUGCCUAAGAAGUAGGCCAUCCAAAGUACCCUCAUAACAAACCAAGAAGGGCCACGACCCUCUUAAUUAUCGCAGCCAUCUAAUAUUUAAGGCAGAGGUCAUCAUAUCAUGGGGGAAAAGAGGGGUAACAAUAAAAAAAACAGCGGAAAGCUGCGAAUUUGCAUAAGAGAAGAAUAUAAAGUUGGCUUUGCUAAACACUGACAGUCUAAUUACCAAGAGAACCCCAGUUUAACCCCCGUUAAAAAAAAAAAACAAAAAAAUGAAGAACAAAUUCGCUGACCGAAAUAUAAAAUUAAUGCUUCCAAGAAAGAUGAAAAGCUUCAUAAAAAAUCAGCAUGCGAAAAAUCAUACAAAACAACAUAUAUGAAUGGGUCUAGUAAACAACGAAAAUUGAAAAUUGAAGCAUAAAAUCAUUGACCGAAGUAUGAAAUCAAUGCUUCCAAGAAAAAUGAAAAGCUCCAUAGUAAAUCGGCUUGUAAAAAUCAUACCAAACAACAUACAUGAAUGGGUAUGGAAAUAUAGAAAUAUACUCUGCUCAAACUCCCCUGGUCAUCAAAUAUUAUGAGACUGGCGGCGAAGGCUUCUUGAUUCACAUUUAACUGACUAAUUGUCCAAUCGCUCCUUCUUAAAACUUGUCCAAUAAUGCCUGUAAGAAGCAUUAUUGCUUAUUUGGAUUAUGCAACAACCGUGACCUAGUUUUGGGAGAUUCAGACUAAUAGUUCUAACCUGCUUAUUUGUUGUGUGACCAGGUUCAGGAUCGAGGCGAAAGCUUCAGGAUCAUCUUCCAACUUCUUUAUUACACGAUUGGUUUAUAAAGAGAAAUAAAUCUCCGGUGUUUUUAGAUCAUUUUCGUAGGCAAUCUAAAGUUAUAAUAUUACUUUUCAUGACUGUAAAUUCGGAGGUCAAGAUUGCAUUGUGCAUCCAUAUUAUUAAGAUCUCCUCGAGAAUUUUGACUCCAUGUAAGCAUUUCACAUACUUUGGUGCAUAGGUUGAUAAGCACAUUAGUAGCUUCACUUAGUUUUGCAAAGGAUGCUAAAAGUAAAAAAUGAUGGUUUUUUUUUUUUUUUAUUUGUAAUGCUAUUUUGAAACAAUUCAUGAGCUUAAAACCUCUAGGCAUCUUAUCGUCAGUUUUAUGAGAGCCUCAUAUUGUAGACCUAUAAGCCUCAAAUAAGGUUUUCUUGCCAAGUUUGUGAAUACUAUUAUACUUAAUUGUAAUGU
This 9896-nucleotide long non-coding RNA is filed under the name Ananas comosus (pineapple). RNAcentral describes it as "long non-coding RNA (ACOM_LNC026655)". The record is from RNAcentral. Lineage: Eukaryota; Viridiplantae; Streptophyta; Magnoliopsida; Poales; Bromeliaceae.